AUUGAACGCUGGCGGCAUGCCUUACACAUGCAAGUCGAACGGCAGCGGACCUUCGGGUGCCGGCGAGUGGCGAACGGGUGAGUAAUAUAUCGGAACGUACCUUUCAGUGGGGGAUAACGUAGCGAAAGUUACGCUAAUACCGCAUAUUCUGUGAGCAGGAAAGCAGGGGAUCGCAAGACCUUGCGCUGAUUGAGCGGCCGAUAUCAGAUUAGCUAGUUGGUGAGGUAAAGGCUCACCAAGGCGACGAUCUGUAGCGGGUCUGAGAGGGUGAUCCGCCACACUGGAACUGAGACACGGUCCAGACUCCUACGGGAGGCAGCAGUGGGGAAUUUUGGACAAUGGGCGCAAGCCUGAUCCAGCCAUGCCGCGUGAGUGAAGAAGGCCUCGG
Molecule: ribosomal RNA, 388 nt
Filed under: uncultured bacterium
Lineage: Bacteria
Description: bacterial SSU rRNA
Rfam family: Bacterial small subunit ribosomal RNA
Source: RNAcentral